CCUGCUCGCCUGAAAUAAAAUUUCAACUGUCUUUUUGCCUUCACUGAUCACUCUCCUAAGUUCAUUUCUUCAGAAUGAUGAGUCCUGCCCAGUUUCUGUUUCUGCUAGUGCUCUGGGUUCAAGAAGCCAGCGGUGAUGUUGUGAUGACCCAGACUCCAGUGUCUUUGUCGGUUACCAUUGGACAACCAGCCUCCAUCUCUUGCAAGUCAAGUCAGAGCCUCUUAGAUAGUAAUGGAAAGACAUAUUUGAAUUGGUUACUACAGAGGCCAGGGCAGUCUCCAAAGCGCCUCAUCUAUCUGGUGUCCAAACUGGACACUGGAAUCCCUGACAGGUUCAGUGGCAGUGGAUCAGAGACAGAUUUUACACUUAAAAUUAGCCGUGUGGAGUCUGAGGACUUGGGGGUUUAUUACUGCUUGCAAGGUACAUAUUUUCCUCACACAGUGACACAGAGCCUAACAAAAACUUCCUUGCCUAGGGCCACACAGCUGGCAAUGUGUCCCUUGACUGGAGAGGAGCAGAGCACUGGAUAA
Apodemus sylvaticus (European woodmouse) is the source of this 530-nucleotide non-coding RNA. The record is from the annotation of a RefSeq genome assembly. NCBI's taxonomy places the organism in Eukaryota, Metazoa, Chordata, Mammalia, Rodentia, Muridae.